AAGUCGUAACAAGGUUUCCGUAGGUGAACCUGCGGAAGGAUCAUUAGUGAAAUCGGUCUCCGGACCUUUAACACACACACAAACACCUGUGAACCGUCUGACCUCCGGGUCGAUCUAUACAAACACCAGUGUAAAGAACGUAUGAAUACAUAAACAAUAAUACAACUUUCAACAACGGAUCUCUUGGCUCUC
This 192-nucleotide unclassified non-coding RNA is filed under the name air metagenome. Its description in RNAcentral is "partial contains small subunit ribosomal RNA, internal transcribed spacer 1, and 5.8S ribosomal RNA". The stretch from base 1 to 46 matches the Rfam family "Eukaryotic small subunit ribosomal RNA", at positions 1786 to 1831 of the family's 1831-position model. The record is from RNAcentral.